GUUGGAAAGAAAUGUCUCGCCUUAAAGAGAAUUUUCACAUUCUAUCUCUCAAAAAAAGAGGCUUGUUAUAAAUUUUAAAAGCUAAGAUGCCAAACUCUAGAAAGAAUUUGUAUUUUAGUUUUCUAAUUUAUCAAAGUUGUGUUUUUUUAGCUAGUGAAAAGAUACACUCUUUCACUUGGAUUCUUCUUCGUAAACUAUUAGUUUUACUUUUGUGUUUAACUUCCUGUCUAUGCAGGCACUUUGUUGGUGUGAUACUCAGUCAUCAUUGGCAGUA
This 274-nucleotide long non-coding RNA is filed under the name Bos taurus (domestic cattle). RNAcentral describes it as "long non-coding RNA NONBTAT017108". The record is from RNAcentral. Lineage: Eukaryota; Metazoa; Chordata; Mammalia; Artiodactyla; Bovidae.